CUAAAUGUUUAUUCACGAGCAGGUAAAUUCAUGUCAACAACAUUGACACUAAUUUAUGAAACUUAUCCCCUCACUUAGGAGAUGUUGAAGACAUUCUGAGGAUCAAGGUAACACGUAAAUGUAUGAAUUUGUAUUUCACUUAUUUAAGAUGUUCGAAGUACUUUAUAUGUCAUAUAUGUUUAAGCGUCCAUAUAUAUGGGUAUUUUAAAAUAAAGCUUUUGAGGAAAUAAUUCUUGUAUACAUGUAACUGAUAUAUUGAAACACCAAACAAGAGUAUUAAAAAAUCUAAUCUUAUUAUAUAGUAUGCAGAUGGGUCUUUCUUUAACACGAGACUCAUCAGAGGACCUCGAAGCAAAACAUUUGUCAAAUAACGAAGAGAAAUUGAAUGUCACCAUAAUGUUGUUUUAACAAAGACAUUUAAGAUAACUCCGACUUUAUCUUACAAUGCUAUGUUUUUUUUUCAUUUACACAAUAAGAGUUAUAAAUUGAAAAUUGAAAUAGAGGCUUGUUUAAAAAAACACUGGUAUAAGUUUUAUUCUAGUUAGUGUUUGAUUUAAAUAUAGCGUUUUACGUUCUUCACUGAAACAAAAUUUAUAAUAGAUAGGGUUGCUGAAGGUUAAACUAUCUAGAAGUUUUUUAAAAGUAAGAUUUUUUUUUAACAAAAAAAUAUAAUAUCUACAUUUCUUAACUAUGAAUGUUGUCUUUCAUUUCUUUAAUGAGCAUCAGUUACGCACAUAAUUGUUUCAGUAAGAUAACACAACAUUCGAUAUAGACAUUAAUGUUUUAUUUUUAAACGAAAUACAGCGUAAAUGCAUACAUAAUAUACAUAACAUUUCAAUACACAGAUACACGUAUAAAAACUUAUAGUAAUAGCAAUACUGGUGUUAAAUUUAUUGCAUCAUAUACGCAUUUCGACCACAAAUGUUUCUUCAGUAAUGGUCGAGUCAAAAUUGUUUUAAAAUAGUAAACUAAUUUAAAGAUAGUGAAUAAUAUUGACAUGCAAUAAUAAAAGAACAGUUCCGGAGCAGGAUUUGCUUAUAAAUACCGAAGUUUUUUUUAGCAGAACAGAUAUAUUUCCCUUUAUUGUUCAUUUCUGUUAUCAAUUGCCGAUAUAAUAAUUAACAAAGUUUUAAAGCUGAACGAUUUUUCCACUUAUAUUUUUAUAUCCCACUAUGGGACAUUAUGUUUUUCUGUCUGUGCGUUCGUUCGUUCGACCGUCCAUUCGUUUGUUCGUUCUUCCACCCGUCUUUCCCGCUGUAGGUUAAAUAUUUUGGUCAAGACAGUUUUUGAUGAAGUUGACGUCCAAUCAGUUUGAAACUGAGUUCACAUGUUCCCCUUGAUUUGAUUUUUUUUAAAGUAAUGCCAAAUUAGAGUUUUGAUCUCAAUUUCACGUGCAACUAAACAUCUAAAUGAUAAUGCGAGUGGGUAUCCAAUUACAAUGGACGCAUUCUUGUUAUACAUCUUUCACGUAAAUAUUUGUACGUCAUAUAUUCUAAAAUAAAACUCAUCAUUAAUCAAUAUACCUUACACAAUAUAAAAUAUCUUUCAUGUCUCUUUCAUUAUAGAAGCGACCUUUCUCAACAUGCCAACAAUAAACAUGGUUGCUAUAUUUACAAAUUUGAUAAUCGUUUAAAGAUAUUAUUAACAGCUAUACUUUGCCAUAAUGUAAUUCAUGAAGGUCUCACAUAUAUUUGAUGUGUCUCAAAAAAGAUAUUACUUUAUUUACAAAGGUAUACGUAAGCCCCUGUUUAAUCCCACUGAGAAAUUUAUCUUCACUAUAUGAGGUUUGGUAAAACCAAAUAAUAUUAUAAACAGAUCUUUACUACAAAUCUGGCAUUUUACAAGCCAUAUUCAGUUCAUUGGGUGACUUUUUACAAAUAUUUGAACCAGUAUUGAUCAUUCUGUAUUAUCGUUCAAUUAACAAAGGAAAUCUUCAUACUUCUAAGUAAACCACGUUAUUAAUUAUAGAUUGUCAAAUAAAUUUCAAAAUAUUAAACGCACCUUUCGAAUAUCGUCUCCUUUGUAUGCUUCUCAUAUUCAUAGUAAUAAAUUAAAAUACACGACACGUAUUAUCAAUAUGAUUCAUAGUAAGUUAUGAUAAGCAUUUUUAACUUUACUUUACAUUUAAACCUUCCUUGUUUGGCCUUGAUUUGACACCUUCUUUGAUGUUUGCAAACAUUGUCAUUUAUACAAAUAGUCUUCUUUAUAAAAUAAAAUUAUCACUCAUUUUAAUUUUAAUUCCUUUCAUUAACCAUUUUCGUAAUUUUCAAUGUAAUCUCAUUGAUAAAAAAACCUACACAUUUUGAUUUUUAAUUUUGCUAGGUAUUAUAUAAAGUUCCUGUGGACGACCAUCCUGUAGACGACAAUCCCCCUUCUAGAUAACAAAGUAAAAGGUAACUAAACAAUUAUGAUAAAUCAAAUAAUUUAAAAAAAAAGUCAAACAGAUUUUAAAAUCAUAAGAUUCAAGUUCUUAAACUUUAAUCAAUUUUUCAUUUCUUGUGUGACAAAUAAGUAUUAACAUUUAUACAUUUAGAUACAUUUGUUGUAAACACAUUUUUGACUUGGACUUCACGUGUGUAAUUGCAUAAGUCAUAUCUUCUUUGACUGUCCAUGACGUUAACUACUUAAUCCCUGGUAUGUGCGUAUUGUUAUGCGUUUACUUUUCUACAUUGGCUAGAGGUAUAGGGGGCGGGUUGAGAUCUCAUUAACAUGUUUAACCCCGCCGCAUUUUUGCGCCUGUCCCAAGUCAGAAGCCUCUGGCCUUUGUUAGUCUUGUAUUAUUUUAACUUUAGUUUCUUGUGUACAAUUUGGAAAUUAGUAUGGCGUUCAUUAUCACUGAACUGGUAUAUAUUUGUUUAGGGGCCAGCUGAAGGAAGCCUCCAGGUGCGGGAAUUUCUCGCUACAUUGAAGACCUGUUGGUGACCUUCUGCUGUUGUUUUUUCUAUGGUCGGGUUGUUGUCUCUUUGACACAUCCCAAUUUCUAUUCUCAAUUUUAGUUGAUUUUAGACUCUGAUGCAUGAUUUUUUAUUAAUAAUUGUUUUUAUAUCUUAACUAGCUUUCAGUAAAUGCGAGUUGCUCUGAAAUCGUACUUUCACUUUUAAUUGACCUGUUGAUACAAUUUGUAAUGCUUUUAUUUUAUUUCAUGUUUACUUAUUUAAAUUAAUAUCUCGUCUCUCUAUUUCUAGCAUAUACCAGCUUUGAUAAUUGUCUGGAAUGAAUAUAAAUUUUUACUCCUGAUCUCGUUCUAUGAACAAUAAAAUUAUAUAUUUUGUAAAAAAUAUUUCCGUUCUCAAUUACUGUACAACAUUAUUUUCCUUUAUCUGUGUACAUUAUUCUAUUUGGCGGCCUUUUCUUCGAGGUUUACAUUGUUAUAUGGCGGGUGUUUGUGCAAGGUUACGGUUGACCUGAAAUUAUUAAUUCUCUCACCCCUUAUCUUAUUUUAUUGAUUUUGUAUUUAACAUUGUGUCAUAGAUUAAAUUUAAUCGUUCCGUGUAUAUCACUUGUCUGUUUUCAUAUGUCUUUUAAAUGAGUUUAGCCAUUUCGAUUGAUAUUCUAGAGUUUGUCUUUCUAUGUUGUGAUGCUACAUCAUUGUUUCAGGUAAGGGUGAAUAAACGAUUCAUCUUUAUUAAAUUGUACAAAUAUGUUAUUGCUAUCUAGACAAAUAAACACAUCGAAGGAUGCCAGACAUUUCCAAACUUUAAACAGAUCAUAUACUUAGUGUUUUUAGUAGCUCCCAAAAAAAAAACGUAAUCCGUUUUGCAAAAUCCUUUUAAUAAAUGGUAACACCGGCUAAACAUAAAAUGAUUGGUAUAAUCAUACACAUAAAAAAAUAAGUAUUAUGUUUGCCAUAAAAACAACUCAUAGUCAGCUAAAAAAAAUGACAUAAUGCUUUUUACAAACGUACGCCUGUUGUGACAUGUAACUAUAAUUCCCUGUUGAUCAGUUUCAUCCUUGUUUUCUUCUUGAAUGUUUUUGUUUUUGUUUGUUUCAUUUAAAAAGUUAUCCUUGCUUAUCAUUCUUUUCACAGUGCUCUUUUGAUUUAGAAACAAAAAUCGUCAAUUGAUAAGAUGUUGAGAGCACGGCAGAGCAGCUAUGUUAUCAAUAACGUUGAUGUAGGUAAAACAGACCUUGGGAAUACUGUAGGCUACGAGGAAUGCCUUGAUUAUGUAGAAAAGGACGAUUAUGAUCAAAUACCGGCAGAUAGAGAUACAAUAAAUCAUGAUUACCUCGUUUUGACUUCAACAGUGAAGGAGGAGAUGAAACAAACAAACAACAUGGUUCAUCAUCAAAACAAACAAUCAGACAGCGAGGUUCAUCAAACGAAGCAGUCUUUAUUGAGGCC
This 4342-nucleotide long non-coding RNA is filed under the name Mytilus galloprovincialis (Mediterranean mussel). Lineage: Eukaryota; Metazoa; Mollusca; Bivalvia; Mytilida; Mytilidae. The record is from RNAcentral.